UACGGGGGGAGCAAGCGUUGUUCGGAUUUACUGGGCGUAAAGCGUGUGUAGGCGGUCUCAUAAGUCGGGUGUGAAAGCCCAGGGCUCAACCCUGGAAGUGCACUCAAAACUGCGAGGCUUGAGUACCGGAGAGGUUGGUGGAAUUCUCGGUGUAGAGGUGAAAUUCGUAGAUAUCGAGAGGAACACCGGUGGCGAAGGCGGCCAACUGGACGAGUACUGACGCUGAGACACGAAAGCGUGGGGAGCAAACAGG
Molecule: ribosomal RNA, 253 nt
Filed under: uncultured bacterium
Lineage: Bacteria
Description: partial 16S ribosomal RNA
Rfam family: Bacterial small subunit ribosomal RNA
Source: RNAcentral